RNAcentral lists this ribosomal RNA (404 nucleotides) under uncultured Hyphomonadaceae bacterium. RNAcentral describes it as "bacterial SSU rRNA". It matches the Rfam family "Bacterial small subunit ribosomal RNA", at positions 355 to 776 of the family's 1533-position model. The record is from RNAcentral. Lineage: Bacteria; Pseudomonadati; Pseudomonadota; Alphaproteobacteria; Hyphomonadales; Hyphomonadaceae.
UGGGGAAUCUUGGACAAUGGGCGCAAGCCUGAUCCAGCCAUGCCGCGUGGAUGAUGAAGGCCCUAGGGUUGUAAAAUCCUUUCGUUGGGGACGAUAAUGACGGUACCCAAAGAAGAAGCUCCGGCUAACUUCGUGCCAGCAGCCGCGGUAAUACGAAGGGGGCUAGCGUUGUUCGGAUUUACUGGGCGUAAAGCGCGUGUAGGCGGGCUGGUAAGUUGGGGGUGAAAUCCCGAGGCUUAACCUCGGAACUGCCUCCAAAACUGUCAGCCUGGAGCAAAGAAGAGGCGAGUGGAAUUGCGAGUGUAGAGGUGAAAUUCGUAGAUAUUCGCAGGAACACCAGUGGCGAAGGCGACUCGCUGGUCUUUUGCUGACGCUGAGACGCGAAAGCGUGGGGAGCAAACAGG